This 254-nucleotide ribosomal RNA is filed under the name uncultured bacterium. RNAcentral describes it as "partial 16S ribosomal RNA". It matches the Rfam family "Bacterial small subunit ribosomal RNA", at positions 524 to 776 of the family's 1533-position model. The record is from RNAcentral.
CACGUAGGGGACGAGCGUUGUCCGGAUUCAUUGGGCGUAAAGCGCGCGUAGGCGGCUCGGAAAGUCGGUCGUGAAAUGCCGGGGCUCAACCCCGGGACUGCGUCCGAUACUCCCGAGCUGGAGGCAGGUAGGGGAGAUCGGAAUUCCUGGUGUAGCGGUGAAAUGCGCAGAUAUCAGGAGGAACACCGGUGGCGAAGGCGGGUCUCUGGGCCGUAACUGGACGCUGAGGAGCGAAAGCAUGGGGAGCGAACAGG